GAUGAACGCUGGCGGCGUGCCUAAUACAUGCAAGUCGAGCGAACGGACGAUAAGCUUGCUUUUCUGAUGUUAGCGGCGCACGGGUGUGUAACACGUGGAUACCCUCCCUAUAACACUGGGAUAACUUCGGGAACCCGGAGCUAAUACCGCAUAAUAUUUUGAACCGUAUGGUUCAAUAGUGAAUGACGGUCUUGCUGUCACUUAUAGAUGGAUCCGCGCUGCAUUAGCUAGUUGGUAAGGUAACGGCUUACCAAGGCAACGAUGCAUAGCCGACCUGAGAGGGUGAUCGGCCACACUGGAACUGCGACACGGUCCAGACUCCUACGGGAGGCAGCAGUAGGGAAUCUUCCGCAAUGGGCGAAAGCCUGACGGAGCAACGCCGCGUGAGUGAUGAAGGUCUUCGGAUCGUAAAACUCUGUUAUUAGGGAAGAACAUAUGUGUAAGUAACUGUGCACAUCUUGACGGUACCUAAUCAGAAAGGCACGGCUAACUACGUG
Molecule: ribosomal RNA, 497 nt
Filed under: uncultured bacterium
Lineage: Bacteria
Description: partial 16S ribosomal RNA
Rfam family: Bacterial small subunit ribosomal RNA
Source: RNAcentral